GAAGAACAUCGUUUUGUUUCAACAGCUUAUUGCCAUCUCCUUCAUUUUCUCAAUUUUGAAAUCAAAGCACAGAGGAAAAGUUGUGUGCAACCAGAUUGUUCCAUUUGGGUCAUGUGCGAUUGUUCCAUUUGGCAAAAGAUUUUGGGGGCAGUGAAUCUGGAAAAGAACUCGGAACCAGUUGACCUCGCGAAAGUAUCAAUCA
This 202-nucleotide unclassified non-coding RNA is filed under the name Hevea brasiliensis (rubber tree). The record is from RNAcentral. Lineage: Eukaryota; Viridiplantae; Streptophyta; Magnoliopsida; Malpighiales; Euphorbiaceae.